Molecule: long non-coding RNA, 121 nt
Filed under: Anas platyrhynchos platyrhynchos (common mallard)
Lineage: Eukaryota; Metazoa; Chordata; Aves; Anseriformes; Anatidae
Description: lncRNA (ENSAPLG00000026232.1)
Source: RNAcentral
CUGUUGGAGAGAAGUUCACAGUUUGAUGGAAGGCAGCCUGUGAUGUUAGACUCACUGCCGACACCAAAGAGCACAGCCAGGACCAGAAGGCAGAGCUGAGCCAGUGCAUCCUGCUGCAAGG